AGUGAACGCUGGCGGUAGGCCUAACACAUGCAAGUCGAACGGCAGCACAGUAAGAGCUUGCUCUUACGGGUGGCGAGUGGCGGACGGGUGAGGAAUACAUCGGAAUCUACUUUUUCGUGGGGGAUAACGUAGGGAAACUUACGCUAAUACCGCAUACGACCUACGGGUGAAAGCAGGGGAUCUUCGGACCUUGCGCGAUUGAAUGAGCCGAUGUCGGAUUAGCUAGUUGGCGGGGUAAAGGCCCACCAAGGCGACGAUCCGUAGCUAGUCUGAGAGGAUGAUCAGCCACACUGGAACUGAGACACGGUCCAGACUCCUACGGGAGGCAGCAGUGGGGAAUAUUGGACAAUGGGCGCAGGCCUGAUCCAGCCAUACCGCGUGGGUGAAGAAGGCCUUCGGGUUGUAAAGCCCUUUUGUUGGGAAAGAAAAGCAGCAGGUUAAUACCCCGCUGUUCUGACGGUACCCAAAGAAUAAGCACCGGCUAACUUCGU
RNAcentral lists this ribosomal RNA (491 nucleotides) under uncultured bacterium. Its description in RNAcentral is "partial 16S ribosomal RNA". It matches the Rfam family "Bacterial small subunit ribosomal RNA", at positions 29 to 506 of the family's 1533-position model. The record is from RNAcentral.